UAGCAAUAUAUAUGGUAAUGUGUUAUAAUAAGAAAGAUUGCAGCGUUUGUAUGUAUGUAUAUAUAUAUAUAUAUAUAUAUAUAUAUAUAUAUAUAUAUAUAUAUAUAUUACGUAGCAUCGAAUUAACUACACAUAAGUUUUUUUAUUUUAUUCUGAAUGUAUAAGACUUAAAUAGAGAGAAUAAAAAUUAUAUAGUCUACACACAAAAAAAAUUGCAUAUAUAUGUAUAUUUAUAUAUGCGCAUCUUGGUUUUAUUUUUUUUAUUUUUCCACUAUUCCAUUCGCCCUCAUUUUUUUUUUUUUUUUUUUUUUGGUACAUAUGUGUACUUCAAUAUAUUAAUAUUUAAAAACGUUUUUUUUAAUUUACCUUUCCUUCUGAUUGUUGGGCACAAAACUUUAUUCAAAGUAUGUAUAAUGAAUGAGUUUUUAUCCACAACUAAUGCUAUAUCAUUUGAGAACGAUGUAAAUAAAAAAAAAAAAAAAAAAUUGUUUAAUAGUGACUAUGAUGACCUAUUUAAAAAUAAUGACUUAUUUAACGGUACUGAUAAUAACAACAUUUUAAGUGAGUACCCAGAUAAUGAAAAAAGAAAUAACGAAGAGAUGAAGGAGGAGGAGUUUAGUUUUUCUAUGGGUGGUAAAAAUGAGAGUAAAAAAAAAGGUGUAAAGAAUUAUAUGAAGCGAAUAGUGUACGAUAAUGAUGAUGUUACUGGUGAGAAUAAAAAAGAAAGCGAUAAACAAGGGGAAAAAAUGAAAGGCGAAGGUAAUGAUAGCAUUAAUGAUAUUUAUAGUAACUACCUAGAAAGCUGUAAGAGUAAUGGGAGUGGCUUUAUAAGUAAAGGGUUUAUUAAAAUUAUAGGCAUGAGUUAUAAUAUUAUUAAUAACAAUAUUACUUUUGAAAAUGAGUCGAUUUUUCAACGAAUAUCCGAUAUAAUUGAAUUACGUAUUGAACAAAUAAUUGAAGAAGCAAACAAAUUUUAUGAAAAAAGAAAAAGGUUUUGCAUAAACAAGUAUAUAAAUAUAGAUGAUUUUAUCAAUUCGUGUAAUUAUUUAAAUGUAACAAUCCCUUAUAAAUACAAAAACAGCCUUCAUUAUAAUUCGAAUGAGUUAUGUGAAAGUUAUAAAAAUAACAAAAUAAUGUACAAACUGAUAUCCAAAGAUGCUUUUGAAAGUAAUAGUAAUAAUAAUCAUAGUAAUAAUAAAAUAUGCAGAAAAAAAAUAAAUAAAAACGUAUAUAAUAUACAAAAGAAAAGGAAAGUAAAAAAAAAAGGAAGCAAUUUUAAUUUGAGUGCUGCUAACAGAUUU
This 1301-nucleotide long non-coding RNA is filed under the name Piliocolobus tephrosceles (Ugandan red Colobus). RNAcentral's name for it is "lncRNA (ENSPTEG00000000656.1)". Lineage: Eukaryota; Metazoa; Chordata; Mammalia; Primates; Cercopithecidae. The record is from RNAcentral.